RNAcentral lists this unclassified non-coding RNA (307 nucleotides) under plant metagenome. RNAcentral describes it as "partial contains 5.8S ribosomal RNA, internal transcribed spacer 2, and large subunit ribosomal RNA". The stretch from base 1 to 105 matches the Rfam family "5.8S ribosomal RNA", at positions 50 to 154 of the family's 154-position model. The record is from RNAcentral.
GAAAUGCGAUAAGUAAUGUGAAUUGCAGAAUUCAGUGAAUCAUCGAAUCUUUGAACGCACAUUGCGCCCGCCAGCACUCUGGCGGGCAUGCCUGUUCGAGCGUCAUUUCAACCCUCAGAACCCCUUGCGGGAUCUGGCGUUGGGGAUUGGCAUCCUGCCAGCCCCGAAAUCUAGUGGCGGUCCCUCCGCGACCUCCCCUGUGCAGUAGCGAUACCUCGCAGCGGGACAGCGGUCUGACCACGCCGUAAAACCCCCAACUUCUCAAGGUUGACCUCGAAUCAGGUAGGAAUACCCGCUGAACUUAAGC